AUUGAACGCUGGCGGCAGGCCUAACACAUGCAAGUCGAGCGGUAGCACAGAGAGCUUGCUCUCGGGUGACGAGCGGCGGACGGGUGAGUAAUGUCUGGGAAACUGCCUGAUGGAGGGGGAUAACUACUGGAAACGGUAGCUAAUACCGCAUAACGUCGCAAGACCAAAGUGGGGGACCUUCGGGCCUCAUGCCAUCAGAUGUGCCCAGAUGGGAUUAGCUAGUAGGUGGGGUAACGGCUCACCUAGGCGACGAUCCCUAGCUGGUCUGAGAGGAUGACCAGCCACACUGGAACUGAGACACGGUCCAGACUCCUACGGGAGGCAGCAGUGGGGAAUAUUGCACAAUGGGCGCAAGCCUGAUGCAGCCAUGCCGCGUGUGUGAAGAAGGCCUUCGGGUUGUAAAGCACUUUCAGCGGGGAGGAAGGCGUUAAGGUUAAUAACCUUGGCGAUUGACGUUACCCGCAGAAGAAGCACCGGCUAACUCCGUGCCAGCAGCCGCGGUAAUACGGAGGGUGCAAGCGUUAAUCGGAAUUACUGGGCGUAAAGCGCACGCAGGCGGUCUGUCAAGUCGGAUGUGAAAUCCCCGGGCUCAACCUGGGAACUGCAUUCGAAACUGGCAGGCUAGAGUCUUGUAGAGGGGGGUAGAAUUCCAGGUGUAGCGGUGAAAUGCGUAGAGAUCUGGAGGAAUACCGGUGGCGAAGGCGGCCCCCUGGACAAAGACUGACGCUCAGGUGCGAAAGCGUGGGGAGCAAACAGGAUUAGAUACCCUGGUAGUCCACGCCGUAAACGAUGUCGAUUUGGAGGUUGUGCCCUUGAGGCGUGGCUUCCGGAGCUAACGCGUUAAAUCGACCGCCUGGGGAGUACGGCCGCAAGGUUAAAACUCAAAUGAAUUGACGGGGGCCCGCACAAGCGGUGGAGCAUGUGGUUUAAUUCGAUGCAACGCGAAGAACCUUACCUGGUCUUGACAUCCACAGAACUUUCCAGAGAUGGAUUGGUGCCUUCGGGAACUGUGAGACAGGUGCUGCAUGGCUGUCGUCAGCUCGUGUUGUGAAAUGUUGGGUUAAGUCCCGCAACGAGCGCAACCCUUAUCCUUUGUUGCCAGCGGUUAGGCCGGGAACUCAAAGGAGACUGCCAGUGAUAAACUGGAGGAAGGUGGGGAUGACGUCAAGUCAUCAUGGCCCUUACGACCAGGGCUACACACGUGCUACAAUGGCAUAUACAAAGAGAAGCGACCUCGCGAGAGCAAGCGGACCUCAUAAAGUAUGUCGUAGUCCGGAUUGGAGUCUGCAACUCGACUCCAUGAAGUCGGAAUCGCUAGUAAUCGUAGAUCAGAAUGCUACGGUGAAUACGUUCCCGGGCCU
Molecule: ribosomal RNA, 1361 nt
Filed under: uncultured bacterium
Lineage: Bacteria
Description: bacterial SSU rRNA
Rfam family: Bacterial small subunit ribosomal RNA
Source: RNAcentral